CGUAGGUAACCUGCCUGGUAGCGGGGGAUAACUAUUGGAAACGAUAGCUAAUACCGCAUAAGAGUAGAUGUUGCAUGACAUAUGCUUAAAAGGUGCAAUUGCAUCACUACCAGAUGGACCUGCGUUGUAUUAGCUAGUUGGUGGGGUAACGGCUCACCAAGGCGACGAUACAUAGCCGACCUGAGAGGGUGAUCGGCCACACUUGGACUGAGACACGGCCCAG
Molecule: ribosomal RNA, 223 nt
Filed under: uncultured Streptococcaceae bacterium
Lineage: Bacteria; Bacillati; Bacillota; Bacilli; Lactobacillales; Streptococcaceae
Description: partial 16S ribosomal RNA
Rfam family: Bacterial small subunit ribosomal RNA
Source: RNAcentral